Molecule: ribosomal RNA, 467 nt
Filed under: uncultured bacterium
Lineage: Bacteria
Description: partial 16S ribosomal RNA
Rfam family: Bacterial small subunit ribosomal RNA
Source: RNAcentral
GACGAACGCUGGCGGCGUGCUUAACACAUGCAAGUCGAACGGAAAGGCCCUGCUUUUGUGGGGUGCUCGAGUGGCGAACGGGUGAGUAACACGUGAGUAACCUGCCCUUGACUUUGGGAUAACUUCAGGAAACUGGGGCUAAUACCGGAUAGGAGCUCCUGCUGCAUGGUGGGGGUUGGAAAGUUUCGGCGGUUGGGGAUGGACUCGCGGCUUAUCAGCUUGUUGGUGGGGUAGUGGCUUACCAAGGCUUUGACGGGUAGCCGGGCUGAGAGGGUGAACGGCCACAUAGGGACUGAGAUACGGCCCAGACGCCGACGGGAGGCAGCAGUGGGGAAGAUUGCACAAUGGGCGGAAGCCUGAUGCAGCAACGCCGCGUGCGGGAUGACGGCCUUCGGGUUGUAAACCGCUUUCGCCUGUGACGAAGCGUGAGUGACGGUAAUGGAUAAAGAAGCACCGGCUAACUACGU